AACAUGUCUUAAAGAAUUUAAUUUUAAGUCAAAUYUGCUCCAUGAAUAAAAUUUAAAUAGCUGCAGAAUUUUAACUGUACAAAGGUAGCAUAAUCAAUAGUUUUUUAAUUAAAAGCUUGUAUGAAGGAUUUAAUAAGGUAAAUAUUGUAUCAAAUUUAAUAAAAUUAGAAUUUUUUUUUUAGUAAAAAUACUAAAAAAAAUUUAAAAGACGAGAAGACCCUAUAGAUUUUUAUAUAUAUAUUUUAAUUAUAUUUAAAAUUAAUAAUAAAUUUUAAAAAUAAAAUAUUUGGUUGGGGAAAUUAUUAAAUUAAUAAAAUUUUAAUUUUAAAUUACAAUAAUUAUUGAAUAAUUGAUCUUAUUAAUAUAAAUUAAUAGAAUAAAUUACCUUAGGGAUAACAGCGUAAUUUUUUUGGAGAGAUCUUAUUAAUAAAAAAGUUUGCGACCUCGAUGUUGAAUUAAGAUAAAAUUUUAAUGUAGAAGUUAAAAAUUUUUGGUCUGUUCGACCAUUAAAAUCUUACGUGAUC
RNAcentral lists this ribosomal RNA (524 nucleotides) under Lorio austerus. RNAcentral's name for it is "partial 16S large subunit ribosomal RNA". The stretch from base 392 to 524 matches the Rfam family "Archaeal large subunit ribosomal RNA", at positions 2544 to 2676 of the family's 2987-position model. The record is from RNAcentral. Lineage: Eukaryota; Metazoa; Arthropoda; Insecta; Hymenoptera; Ichneumonidae.